Molecule: long non-coding RNA, 283 nt
Organism: Hyaena hyaena (striped hyena)
Lineage: Eukaryota; Metazoa; Chordata; Mammalia; Carnivora; Hyaenidae
Exons: 3
Source: RefSeq, a predicted model, not a curated record
CUCCGCCGCCCUCCACUCUGUUCACGGCGGCUGCUCCCGCUCUCAGGGACCUGGACACCAAACUUUGAAGCCUCCGGAUUCCUCUCCGGCUUUUUUAGCCCCUCACUCCUGAGGCUCUCUCCCCUGCAGGGACUGAGCUGCUCUGCCCCAGUUGGGAAGGACUUCCUGCUGUGCCUGCAUCUUGACCAAGAGGACCUUGAACCUGAGCCAGAUAGUGGAAAUCAAUCAUGGUCUCCAAUUUGCAGACAGCAGAACGCGGGCCUUCUCAGCCUCCAUAACCACG